UACGGGGGGGGUAAGCGUUGUUCGGAAUUACUGGGCGUAAAGGGCUCGUAGGCGGCCAACUAAGUCAGACGUGAAAUCCCUCAGCUUAACUGGGGAACUGCGUCUGAUACUGGAUGGCUUGAGUUUGGGAGAGGGAUGCGGAAUUCCAGGUGUAGCGGUGAAAUGCGUAGAUAUUGGGAAGAACACCUGAGGCGAAGGCGGGUUGCUGGGCCGACACUGACGCUGAGGCGCGAAAGCCAGGGGAGCAAACGGG
This 253-nucleotide ribosomal RNA is filed under the name uncultured bacterium. RNAcentral describes it as "partial 16S ribosomal RNA". It matches the Rfam family "Bacterial small subunit ribosomal RNA", at positions 524 to 776 of the family's 1533-position model. The record is from RNAcentral.